This 69-nucleotide transfer RNA is filed under the name Ictidomys tridecemlineatus (thirteen-lined ground squirrel). RNAcentral describes it as "Spermophilus tridecemlineatus (thirteen-lined ground squirrel) tRNA". It matches the Rfam family "tRNA". Rfam says of the family: Transfer RNA (tRNA) molecules are approximately 80 nucleotides in length. Their secondary structure includes four short double-helical elements and three loops (D, anti-codon, and T loops). The record is from Rfam by way of RNAcentral. Lineage: Eukaryota; Metazoa; Chordata; Mammalia; Rodentia; Sciuridae.
GGGGUUGUGGCUCAAUGGUAGAGCACAAGCCUAGCAUGUAUGAGGCACUGGGUUUGAUUCUCAGCACCA